This 160-nucleotide ribosomal RNA is filed under the name Candelariella citrina. Its description in RNAcentral is "5.8S ribosomal RNA". It matches the Rfam family "5.8S ribosomal RNA". Rfam says of the family: 5.8S ribosomal RNA (5.8S rRNA) is a component of the large subunit of the eukaryotic ribosome. It is transcribed by RNA polymerase I as part of the 45S precursor that also contains 18S and 28S rRNA. Lineage: Eukaryota; Fungi; Ascomycota; Candelariomycetes; Candelariales; Candelariaceae. The record is from RNAcentral.
AAAACUUUCAACAACGGAUCUCUUGGUUCUGGCAUCGAUGAAGAACGCAGCGAAAUGCGAUAAGUAAUGUGAAUUGCAGAAUUCAGUGAAUCAUCAAAUCUUUGAACGCACAUUGCGCCCUUUGGUAUUCCAAGGGGCAUGCCUGUCCGAGCGUCAUUAC